RNAcentral lists this ribosomal RNA (449 nucleotides) under uncultured bacterium. RNAcentral's name for it is "bacterial SSU rRNA". It matches the Rfam family "Bacterial small subunit ribosomal RNA", at positions 355 to 796 of the family's 1533-position model. The record is from RNAcentral.
UCGAGGAUCUUUCGCAAUGGGCGCAAGCCUGACGAAGCGACGCUGCGUGAGUGAUGAAGGCCUUCGGGUUGUAAAGCUCUUUCGCGCAAGAACAAGGAAGAAAUGUGAAUAACAUUUCGACUUGAGGGUACUGCGUAAAGAAGCACCGGCUAACUCCGUGCCAGCAGCUGCGGUAAUACGGAGGGUGCAAGCAUUAAUCGGAAUUAUUGGGCGUAAAGGGCGCGUAGGCUGAUAGACAAGUCAGAUGUGAAAUACCAAAGCUCAACUUUGGUGCUGCAUUUGAAACUGUCUGUCUAGAGGGUUGACGGAGAAAACGGAAUUCCACGUGUAGCGGUGAAAUGCGUAGAUAUGUGGAAGAACACCAGUGGCGAAAGCGGUUUUCUAGUUUAUACCUGACGCUGAGGCGCGAGAGCAAGGGGAGCAAACAGGAUUAGAUACCCCGGUAGUCC